Molecule: long non-coding RNA, 207 nt
Organism: Apodemus sylvaticus (European woodmouse)
Lineage: Eukaryota; Metazoa; Chordata; Mammalia; Rodentia; Muridae
Exons: 3
Source: RefSeq, a predicted model, not a curated record
CUCAGGUAGACAGGGGAGCAAGUCCUCAGGUAGACAGGGGUGCAAGGCCUCAGGUAGACAGGGGUGCAAGGCCUCAGGUAGACAGGGGUGCAAGGCCUCAGGUAGACAGGGAGCAAGACCUCAGGUAGACAGGGGAGCAAGGCCUCAGGUAGACAGGGGAGCAAGGCCUCAGGUAGACAGGGGUGCAAGGCCUCAGGUAGACAGGGG